RNAcentral lists this ribosomal RNA (215 nucleotides) under uncultured bacterium. RNAcentral's name for it is "partial 16S ribosomal RNA". It matches the Rfam family "Bacterial small subunit ribosomal RNA", at positions 524 to 734 of the family's 1533-position model. The record is from RNAcentral.
UACGAAGGGGGCUAGCGUUGCUCGGAAUCACUGGGCGUAAAGCGCACGUAGGCGGAUUGUUAAGUCAGGGGUGAAAUCCUGGAGCUCAACGUCCAGAACUGCCUUUGAUACUGGCGAUCUCGAGUCCGGGAGAGGUGAGUGGAACUGGCGAGUGUAGAGGUGAAAUUCGUAGAGUAUUCGCAAGAACACCAGUGGCGAAGGCGGACUCACUGGCC